RNAcentral lists this ribosomal RNA (465 nucleotides) under uncultured Klebsiella sp. RNAcentral's name for it is "bacterial SSU rRNA". It matches the Rfam family "Bacterial small subunit ribosomal RNA", at positions 338 to 795 of the family's 1533-position model. Lineage: Bacteria; Pseudomonadati; Pseudomonadota; Gammaproteobacteria; Enterobacterales; Enterobacteriaceae. The record is from RNAcentral.
CCUACGGGAGGCUGCAGUGGGGAAUAUUGCACAAUGGGCGCAAGCCUGAUGCAGCCAUGCCGCGUGUGUGAAGAAGGCCUUCGGGUUGUAAAGCACUUUCAGCGGGGAGGAAGGCGGUGAGGUUAAUAACCUCAUCGAUUGACGUUACCCGCAGAAGAAGCACCGGCUAACUCCGUGCCAGCAGCCGCGGUAAUACGGAGGGUGCAAGCGUUAAUCGGGAUUACUGGGCGUAAAGCGCACGCAGGCGGUCUGUCAAGUCGGAUGUGAAAUCCCCGGGCUCAACCUGGGAACUGCAUUCGAAACUGGCAGGCUAGAGUCUUGUAGAGGGGGGUAGAAUUCCAGGUGUAGCGGUGAAAUGCGUAGAGAUCUGGAGGAAUACCGGUGGCGAAGGCGGCCCCCUGGACAAAGACUGACGCUCAGGUGCGAAAGCGUGGGGAGCAAACAGGAUUAGAUACCCCUGUAGUC